Molecule: transfer RNA, 99 nt
Rfam family: tRNA
About the family: Transfer RNA (tRNA) molecules are approximately 80 nucleotides in length. Their secondary structure includes four short double-helical elements and three loops (D, anti-codon, and T loops). Further hydrogen bonds mediate the characteristic L-shaped molecular structure. tRNAs have two regions of fundamental functional importance: the anti-codon, which is responsible for specific mRNA codon recognition, and the 3' end, to which the tRNAs corresponding amino acid is attached (by aminoacyl-tRNA synthetases). tRNAs cope with the degeneracy of the genetic code in two manners: having more than one tRNA (with a specific anti-codon) for a particular amino acid; and 'wobble' base-pairing, i.e. permitting non-standard base-pairing at the 3rd anti-codon position.
Source: Rfam
GGUGAGAUGGCCGAGUGGUCUAAGGCGCUAGAUUUAGGUAUCUUUUGGAAGGCCUACCUCUAGUCAUUCGUGGCGUGGGUUCAAAUCCCACUCUCAUCA